This 254-nucleotide ribosomal RNA is filed under the name uncultured bacterium. Its description in RNAcentral is "partial 16S ribosomal RNA". It matches the Rfam family "Bacterial small subunit ribosomal RNA", at positions 524 to 776 of the family's 1533-position model. The record is from RNAcentral.
UACGAAGGGUGCAAACGUUGCUCGGAAUUAUUGGGCGUAAAGAGCUCGUAGGCGGUUCGACAAGUCGGGUGUGAAAACUCCGGGCUCAACCCGGAGACGCCACCCGAUACUGUCGUGACUGGAGUCCGGUAGGGGAGUGGGGAAUUCCUGGUGUAGCGGUGAAAUGCGCAGAUAUCAGGAGGAACACCGGUGGCGAAGGCGCCACUCUGGGCCGGUACUGACGCUGAGGAGCGAAAGCGUGGGUAGCAAACAGG